Molecule: ribosomal RNA, 438 nt
Filed under: Triticum aestivum (bread wheat)
Lineage: Eukaryota; Viridiplantae; Streptophyta; Magnoliopsida; Poales; Poaceae
Description: partial small subunit ribosomal RNA
Source: RNAcentral
AUGUCAUUAUCAGGCCACAACGACGUCCUCCCUUGUCGGGAAACUGCCGCUCGUUCUUCACCGUCCGUUGCUGCAUUCUCACUUUCUCAUCAAGAGGGGAGUACGCGGAGUCUUCUUCUCCCCCAGCCGCCGGCCGAUCCACCCAAGCACCACUCACAGUCACAGCUGCUACGCCUCCCUGCUCCCGCGAUGAGCUGGUGGUGGGCGGGCGCGGUCAGCGCCGCCAGGAGACGCCAGGACGACAGCGCCGCCGCGGCCGAGCCCGCCUUCCAGAGCGUCGCCCUCGUCGUCGGAUCCACGGGCAUCGUCGGCACCUCGCUCCUUGACAUCCUCCCGCGCAACGACACCCCCGGUGGGCCCUGGAAGGUGUACGCGGUCUCCCGCCGCGCGCCCCUUCCUUGGACCCCGCCACCCACCCCCGCCGUCACGCACCUGUGA